RNAcentral lists this transfer RNA (71 nucleotides) under Loxodonta africana (African savanna elephant). It matches the Rfam family "tRNA". Rfam says of the family: Transfer RNA (tRNA) molecules are approximately 80 nucleotides in length. Lineage: Eukaryota; Metazoa; Chordata; Mammalia; Proboscidea; Elephantidae. The record is from Rfam by way of RNAcentral.
GCCUUGGUGGUUCAAGGGCAGAAUUCUCACCUUCCGUGUGGGAGACCCGGGUUUGAUUCCCCGCCAGUGCA